This is a non-coding RNA of Oryctolagus cuniculus (rabbit), 3893 nucleotides long. NCBI's taxonomy places the organism in Eukaryota, Metazoa, Chordata, Mammalia, Lagomorpha, Leporidae. The record is from RefSeq and is a predicted model, not a curated record.
AUGCUGUAAAUGUCUGUGCUCUCCACUUUCUCCUGAUUAAUUCUUGCUUGAGCAGUACUUGGCAGGAAAUCGUUCCUGGUUUUCCCGUGAUAGGCUCUCACAUCUUGUCUACUUCCUCAUUGCAAGAACACUUCUCACUAUUGCAGUUUGGCAUUUGUCUGUUUAUUUGACUAAUGUCUGUGUCCUCUGAUUGGACUUCGGGAGGACAUGAUAUGCCUGUAUUGCACACUGCUGUGUCCUUGAUACCUUGCUUCUUAAGAACUCAAAAAACAGUUGUAAGAUAAAGACCAAACACAAGAAUUUAAGGAGCUUCUGUGAAAGCCACUAGAGACUCACAAGGAAUGCCAUGGGCACAGUAGAAGCCAUGUUGGGGAUGAUAAAUGGCGAUCAUGUCCACUUUAUCUGUGACCUUGGACCACUGCAUCUGCACCAAGAAAUCUUUCUUCUGAAUAUGGCAGGUGUCUGAUGUUGCGAUGAAGAACCGGUUAUGAAAUUCUGCUUAACCUCUGACUCAGGAUCAUGCUAUUGCUAAAACUGGAUGCAUGAACCAGCGGGAGGGAAAUUGCCUGCUCAGCCCAAGACAGUUCAUACAGAUCCAAAUGGUGCCAGCCCUCAAUCGUCUCUUUGUCUUUGGAUACCUGCCAAAUUUCAUCUCAGGAGGACUUUAUUUUCUUUCAAGAGACCAAAAAUCAAUCACUUAAUUCUUGGUGAGGUUGAAGCGGAAGAUUAGAUCGGAUUAGAGUCACUUUUAAACACAAUCUUUUUGCCAUGCUUCCUGGGGGCCCAAGAAGCCCAUCAGACUCUCUCAUUAAGACAAUUAUUCUCCCAAGGCAGUGAUAUGGAAACUGCUUUUCUGCUGACCACACUCCAGCCUACAUUUAAACCAAAUCAGAGAAAUUAAGAGUGAAAAUAGGAAAUAUUUCCUAAAGAAUCUAUCAAAUCUGCGUCAGCCUUGUUGGGUGCAUGCUUUUAUCUGUGAUCAAGGCUGGCAAGUACUAUUAGCUUGUGCAAUAGACAAUUUAGAACCAUAAUUUCUGAGUUAGAAAAAUGAAAACAAUGAAAGUGGUGGUCAGAGUAAAAAAUAUGUUGAAUUUUAAUUAAUGAUAAAAUGCUAUGGCCAAGGAGACAGCUGCGGUUAGAAAGUACUGCUGGUGGGCCAGCAUUGUGCUGUAGUGGGAAAAGCUGCAGCCUGUGAUGCUGGCAUCCCAUGUGGGGGCCUGUUCAUGUCCCAGCUGCUCCACUUCUGACCCAGCUCCCUGUUAAUGGCCUGGGAAGAGCAGCAGAAGAGGGCCCAAGUGUUUGGGCCCUUAUCAUCAUGUGGGAGACCUGGAUGAAGGCCCUGGCUCCUGGACUCAGCUGGGCCAAGCCCUGGCCAUUGCAGUCAUCUGGGGAGUGAACCAGUGAGUGGAGGAUUUUUCUUCCUCUCCCUGUCUCUCCCUCUCUAUCUGUAACUCUGAUUUUCAAAUAAAUAAAUAAGUCUUUUUGGGGAAAAAAAGGAAAAAGAAAAUAUGGCUUCUGCCUCCUCCACAUCGCCAGCAAGUGCAUGGCCUCAGUGUUGUGGUGAAUGGCAUAUCUGCCCAGCUGGCUGCUCUGCUCAUAGGAGACACUUCUAUUGCUCAAAACAAUGGUGACAUGGGUCACAGACAUGCUGUGUGAAGGUUUGCCAGGUGCCAAAUGUGAACUGAGGUUUGACAAGCUGAAGUCCCUACUGUGUGACCUCAGAGUCUUUCCAAACUGUUUCCUCAUCUUAUCAACAUUAAUGAGCCAAUAAUACCUUUAUGUAGUUUUCUAACAUUUUAAGUCUUCAUCAUGCUGCUUCAUUUUCUUACAAAUACAUUUUGUAACAUGCAGUGAGUGAUAGGUGAAAUUUAUGCAGUGUCAACAUCGGAAUUUUAAUUACACAGAAAGACAGCAAAUGUAAAAUCAUGGCUCUCUGUGCUACUACAAUCCAAUGUCUUAGCAAAUACUUAAAAUAUUUUUUUUAUUUGCAUGUAUGGUAUUAGUUCCAUUUGUGCAGGUACAAUGUUAUAUUUGUUUGGGGAUUUUAAACUUGAGAUUUUUGCUGGCAUUUACAUUAUUAAAAACACAGCAUUAAUUUUGCCUAAACAGCUGUGUUUUUUUCAUUUCUUCUCUUCAAGGAAGAAUUAGUGAGAAUGGAAAUGGAACAGGGACAUUCCUUGGUAACUCAGAGACUGAGUCGCCAAUGUAAGCCUCAUGGAGGCCCCUGAAGAAAAGCAUGAAAUGAAGGGUAAAUGGCAAUGCUCUCACACGCUAUCACCCAGCUAUUCUCCACUGAAAAGGACCAGCCAGCUAAUUUGCAGGGAAGGCCUCUCCCACCCACAGGAUUAUAACUGAAUUGGAGCUGUCAGUAGCAUCGGAGUUAGAAACACAAAACUUGAGUUUGAGCCUGAGCUCUAUCAAUGACUAGCUCUGUGAAUGUACACAAGUUAUUUUAUUCUGUGAGUCUGCUCUCUUAUCUGAAAUGAAAAAAUUUCAGGGUCUUCUUAACUGGGAGAGGAAUUUUUCUGGGCUUUUAGGGGAUUAAAUGAACUCACAAAGAAGCACUCUAUACAGUGCCUGGUGCAUAGCGGGUAUCAAAUAUUAGGCUCUUUUUUCUUUUCCUAUUUAAUUAAUAAAGCAUGGCUUUUGAAAAAUUGUUCUGGAAGUUAUAUUUCCAAUGACUUUAGCACAGGCAGACUCAUUUGGAAAUCAUUUUAUAAUCUGACACUAUCCUAAUGGGAAGGGGUAGACUUUGAGAAUAUUCCAGUCCAAUUCCUUCAUUUUAUAGACAAGAAAAUUGACCCAGAGAGGUUAGGUGACACACUCAAGGUCACUCCGAUUCAUGGAGGCACAGUCAGGACUUGAAAGUAGAUCUCCUGCUCUGAGUCUCCUCCCUUUACCAUGCUGGUACCACUGCAGCUUUGCCCAAGAGGUACAUGUGGCCAGAGCACAAAGUCUGAGGCUUCAAGGGUACUUGUGAAGUUUCAGUGAGCUCACUGCUCUGGGAAAGUGGCUGAACCUGGCAUAUACUCAAGUCACAAUGGAAGAAGGAACACACAGUCUGCCCGAAAAAUAAGUCCUUCCAGGAACUGAAGGAGUAGUCAAGAGCUAACCUUGAGGCUAACAUAGAUCUGCCCUCAUAUACUUAUCCCCAUGGCCCACAGUGGUCUAUUGACUGCGUCCUAAAUAGCUCUAUGCAAUGGUGGCAAAUGAAAGUCUAGACAUUACCAAUGGGAUCGAAAUAGACUUGGGAGACUUCCAAAUUUAGCAUAUACCAUCUUUCCCACAGGCGUCUCCUCUUCAUAUUGGGCACACAGCCGAAGUUUUAAAAGCAAUUAAUGUUGUGUAGCACACUUCGGGGAAUACUCACCCAGCCCCAUUGAUGGACUGGAUAGGAUUUUUAUAGAAAGCAUUUGGAGCAAUGGUUUUAAGAGGUCAGUCUAAAGCUCAUGCCAGGCUGACUAGCUGACCAUCUAGGUAGGCCUCUACAAAGGGAUUUCUUCAGGCCCUUUCCCUGGAGAUCUUGCUCUGUCAGCCAGUGCACAAAGUCUGAAGGUCCAGGGUACUUGCGGGGUUUAAGUCAUCUCAUUAGUCUGGGCAAGUGGCUGAACUUGGCAUGUACUCAAAUCCCAAUGGAAAAAGGAGCAUUCAGUCUGCUUGACUUGAGCAUCUCUCUUUUCCAGAAGUAUACAAAAUGCAUUGAUGUGCAACCAUCACAUUAACUUAGGGUAGAAGGGGUUGGGAGGAGGGAGGAAAAGAGACUGGCAGUUGUGAGAGCCUCUAAGCCAAAAGCCUACCUUCAUGACACAGAGAAAUGUGGUGAUGUAAAAGAGGAUGGGGCAGUGGAGGAUGGCCCAAGUGCUUGGGCCCUGCACCUGCAUGGGAGAUCUGGA